GACAGAGGGUGCAAACGUUGCUCGGAAUUACUGGGCGUAAAGGGCUCGUAGGCGGCCAACUAAGUCAGACGUGAAAUCCCUCGGCUUAACCGGGGAACUGCGUCUGAUACUGGAUGGCUUGAGUUUGGGAGAGGGAUGCGGAAUUCCAGGUGUAGCGGUGAAAUGCGUAGAUAUCUGGAGGAACACCGGUGGCGAAGGCGACAUCCUGGACCAACACUGACGCUGAGGAGCGAAAGCCAGGGGAGCAAACGGG
This 253-nucleotide ribosomal RNA is filed under the name uncultured bacterium. RNAcentral describes it as "partial 16S ribosomal RNA". It matches the Rfam family "Bacterial small subunit ribosomal RNA", at positions 524 to 776 of the family's 1533-position model. The record is from RNAcentral.